This 550-nucleotide ribosomal RNA is filed under the name uncultured bacterium. RNAcentral describes it as "bacterial SSU rRNA". It matches the Rfam family "Bacterial small subunit ribosomal RNA", at positions 355 to 896 of the family's 1533-position model. The record is from RNAcentral.
UGGGGAAUCUUCCGCAAUGGACGAAAGUCUGACGGAGCAACGCCGCGUGAGUGAUGACGGCCUUCGGGUUGUAAAGCUCUGUUAAUCGGGACGAAAGGUCCUCUUGCGAAUAGUUAGAGGAAUUGACGGUACCGGAAUAGAAAGCCACGGCUAACUACGUGCCAGCAGCCGCGGUAAUACGUAGGUGGCAAGCGUUGUCCGGAAUUAUUGGGCGUAAAGCGCGCGCAGGCGGAUCAGUUAGUCUGUCUUAAAAGUUCGGGGCUUAACCCCGUGAUGGGAUGGAAACUGCUGAUCUAGAGUAUCGGAGAGGAAAGUGGAAUUCCUAGUGUAGCGGUGAAAUGCGUAGAUAUUAGGAAGAACACCAGUGGCGAAGGCGACUUUCUGGACGAAAACUGACGCUGAGGCGCGAAAGCCAGGGGAGCGAACGGGAUUAGAUACCCCGGUAGUCCUGGCCGUAAACGAUGGGUACUAGGUGUAGGAGGUAUCGACCCCUUCUGUGCCGGAGUUAACGCAAUAAGUACCCCGCCUGGGGAGUACGACCGCAAGGUUG